RNAcentral lists this ribosomal RNA (494 nucleotides) under Citharichthys minutus. RNAcentral's name for it is "partial 16S ribosomal RNA". It matches the Rfam family "Bacterial large subunit ribosomal RNA", at positions 1963 to 2591 of the family's 2925-position model. The record is from RNAcentral. Lineage: Eukaryota; Metazoa; Chordata; Actinopteri; Pleuronectiformes; Cyclopsettidae.
AAUCACUUGUCUUUUAAAUGAAGACCUGUAUGAAAGGUAUGACGAGGGCUUAACUGUCUCCUUUUCCAAGUCAAUGAAAUUGAUCUCCCCGUGCAGAAGCGGGGAUUAUAACAUAAGACGAGAAGACCCUGUGGAGCUUGAGACGCAAGGCUGGCUCCCGUUAAACAAGCCCAUGAAGCUACAAACUAAAGGAUUACCACCCUAGUGUCUUCGGUUGGGGCGACCAUGGGGAAAACAAAUCCCCCACGUGGAAUGAGAGCACCAACCCCCUUCCCAUAACACCCCUCUCACAAACCAGAGCCACAACUCCAAUUAACAGAACUUCUGACCAAAAAUGAUCCGGCAGUGCCGAUCAACGAACCAAGUUACCCCAGGGAUAACAGCGCAAUCCCCUUUUAGAGCCCCUAUCGACAAGGGGGUUUACGACCUCGAUGUUGGAUCAGGACAUCCUAAUGGUGCAACCGCUAUUAAGGGUUCGUUUGUUCAACGAUUAA